Molecule: ribosomal RNA, 472 nt
Filed under: uncultured Streptococcus sp.
Lineage: Bacteria; Bacillati; Bacillota; Bacilli; Lactobacillales; Streptococcaceae
Description: bacterial SSU rRNA
Rfam family: Bacterial small subunit ribosomal RNA
Source: RNAcentral
UUAGACGGGGCCGCACAAGCGGUGAGCAGUGUGGUUUUAAUUCGAAGCAACGCGAAGAACCUUACCAGGUCUUGACAUCCCGAUGCUAUUUCUAGAGAUAGAAAGUUACUUCGGUACAUCGGUGACAGGUGGUGCAUGGUUGUCGUCAGCUCGUGUCGUGAGAUGUUGGGUUAAGUCCCGCAACGAGCGCAACCCCUAUUCGUUAGUUUGCCAUCAUUCAGUUGGGCACUCUAGCGAGACUGCCGGUAAUAAACCGGAGGAAGGUGGGAUGACGUCAAAUCAUCAUGCCCCUUAUGACCUGGGCUACACACGUGCUACAAUGGUUGGUACAACGAGUUGCGAGUCGGUGACGGCGAGCUAAUCUCUUAAAGCCAAUCUCAGUUCGGAUUGUAGGCUGCAACUCGCCUGCAUGAAGUCGGAAUCGCUAGUAAUCGCAGGUCAGCAUACUGCGGUGAAUACGUUCCCGGGCCUU